CUCGGGUGUAAUGUCUAAUAAUAGUCCCGAGUAUUAGACCAAAAUUGUAAUAGGUUUCAAGUCAUAAAUACUCGUCUUCCAACCCUAAAACACUCAACAAAUCAACCCUAUUUUCUCACCCCCGCGCGAUCAAAAACCUUUUCAAAAAGAACAUUAUUUAGUCCAUUCUAAUGUGAAUACAAACAAACGCUUUAAGCCUCCAAUUGUAAGCACAAACAACGUUUAACCAUUAGAGAGCGGUCUAAAUAGUUGUUCAUUAAAACAAACUAACCACCAUAUAGUUUUUUACGAAGAACUACGUAGCUUUGAAUUCCUCAUUGUACCUAAGAAUACGUAGGAGCGAGACCCGCAAUCCGGCAAGCACCCUAAUAAAAACCUUUUUGCG
Molecule: long non-coding RNA, 385 nt
Filed under: Lathyrus oleraceus (garden pea)
Lineage: Eukaryota; Viridiplantae; Streptophyta; Magnoliopsida; Fabales; Fabaceae
Description: Pisum sativum (pea) long non-coding RNA (PSAT_LNC019300)
Source: RNAcentral